This 308-nucleotide ribosomal RNA is filed under the name uncultured bacterium. RNAcentral describes it as "partial 16S ribosomal RNA". It matches the Rfam family "Bacterial small subunit ribosomal RNA", at positions 505 to 808 of the family's 1533-position model. The record is from RNAcentral.
GAGACAGCAGUCGCCGCGGUAACACGUAGGUCCCGAGCAUCGUCCGGAUUUAUUGGGCGUAAAGCGAGCGCAGGCGGUUAGAUAAGUCUGAAGUUAAAGGCUGUGGCUUAACCAUAGUACGCUUUGGAAACUGUUUAACUUGAGUGCAAGAGGGGAGAGUGGAAUUCCAUGUGUAGCGGUGAAAUGCGUAGAUAUAUGGAGGAACACCGGUGGCGAAAGCGGCUCUCUGGCUUGUAACUGACGCUGAGGCUCGAAAGCGUGGGGAGCAAACAGGAUUAGAUACCCCCGUAGUCCCUGUCUCUUAUACA